UCUUUAAUUUUUCUAUAAAAUCAGAAAUAAUUAUUCUUCCUUAAAUAACCAAAUCAACAAUCCCCUUCAUAACAAUCUUAUGAAAUAUUUCAAAAACUUAGUACUCUCUUAGAUUGCUGCUACCAUUCAGAUAUGCCUAUACAUAUAAAUAAAAUUUACUUAGUUUAAUCAUUCCUAAUAUCAAAAAAUAAGGCAUUUUUACACCCCAAAAAGGUAAAAUCAUUACAUAUGCAUUUGUUCUACAAUUACAGGCCUGCAUCAGAUUAAUAGUAGCAAAAUAUACACACAUCAUUGAUGAUAGCUUCUUCAUCAAGCUUGUAUUUGACUCCCCAACAACUGUGAUUUGUAACGACAUAUGUUUUUCUCUUCCCCAUUCCUUAUUGAACAACCAAAAGAUUAAAAAAUAAAAGAACCUU
This 416-nucleotide long non-coding RNA is filed under the name Nicotiana benthamiana. Its description in RNAcentral is "long non-coding RNA (NBEN_LNC038041)". Lineage: Eukaryota; Viridiplantae; Streptophyta; Magnoliopsida; Solanales; Solanaceae. The record is from RNAcentral.